ACUCCUACGGGAGGCAGCAGUGGGGAAUAUUGGACAAUGGGCGCAAGCCUGAUCCAGCCAUGCCGCGUGUGUGAAAGGCAGCUUUUGGUUGUAAAGCACUUUAAGCGAGGAGGAGGCUCCUUUAGUUAAUACCUAAAGUGAGUGGACGUUACUCGCAGAAUAAGCACCGGCUAACUCUGUGCCAGCAGCCGCGGUAAUACAGAGGGUGCGAGCGUUAAUCGGAUUUACUGGGCGUAAAGCGUGCGUAGGCGGCUUUUUAAGUCGGAUGUGAAAUCCCUGAGCUUAACUUAGGAAUUGCAUUCGAUACUGGAAAGCUAGAGUAUGGGAGAGGAUGGUAGAAUUCCAGGUGUAGCGGUGAAAUGCGUAGAGAUCUGGAGGAAUACCGAUGGCGAAGGCAGCCAUCUGGCCUAAUACUGACGCUGAGGUACGAAAGCAU
This 436-nucleotide ribosomal RNA is filed under the name uncultured bacterium. RNAcentral describes it as "bacterial SSU rRNA". It matches the Rfam family "Bacterial small subunit ribosomal RNA", at positions 335 to 762 of the family's 1533-position model. The record is from RNAcentral.